CAGUCGCCGCGGUAAUACGGAGGGAGCUAGCGUUGUUCGGAAUUACUGGGCGUAAAGCGCACGUAGGCGGCUUUGUAAGUUAGAGGUGAAAGCCUGGAGCUCAACUCCAGAAUUGCCUUUAAGACUGCAUCGCUUGAAUCCGGGAGAGGUGAGUGGAAUUCCGAGUGUAGAGGUGAAAUUCGUAGAUAUUCGGAAGAACACCAGUGGCGAAGGCGGCUCACUGGACCGGCAUUGACGCUGAGGUGCGAAAGCGUGGGGAGCAAACAGGAUUAGAUACCCGUGUAGUCCCUGUCUCUUAUAC
Molecule: ribosomal RNA, 301 nt
Filed under: uncultured bacterium
Lineage: Bacteria
Description: partial 16S ribosomal RNA
Rfam family: Bacterial small subunit ribosomal RNA
Source: RNAcentral